CAUUUCAUUCUUUCCAGCUUUCCU
This 24-nucleotide non-coding RNA is filed under the name Arabidopsis thaliana (thale cress). The record is from RNAcentral. Lineage: Eukaryota; Viridiplantae; Streptophyta; Magnoliopsida; Brassicales; Brassicaceae.